GCGUCGGUAUUGCAACUAUUCAGCACGCGCUCCCGAAAAGAGUGAGAAUUGGGUUCAAAUCCCGGUUGACGCA
Parelaphostrongylus tenuis is the source of this 73-nucleotide non-coding RNA. The record is from the annotation of a GenBank genome assembly. Lineage: Eukaryota; Metazoa; Nematoda; Chromadorea; Rhabditida; Metastrongylidae.